Molecule: ribosomal RNA, 406 nt
Filed under: uncultured bacterium
Lineage: Bacteria
Description: partial 16S ribosomal RNA
Rfam family: Bacterial small subunit ribosomal RNA
Source: RNAcentral
AUUGAACGCUGGCGGCAGGCCUACCACAUGCACGUCGAGCGAGCGGCGGACGGGUGAGUAAUGUCUGGGAAACUUCCUGAUGGAGUGGGCUAACUACUGGAAACGGUAGCUAAUACCGCCUACCCUCCGAUGUGCCCCGGUGGGAUUAGCUAGUCGGUGGGGUACCGGCUCACCUAGGCGACGAUCCCUAGCUGGUCGGAGAGGAUGAACAGACACACGGGAACGGAGACACGGUCCAGACGGCUACGGGAGGCAGCAGUGGGGAAUAUGGCACAAUGGGCGCAAGCCUGAUGCAGCCAUGCAGCGUGUGUGAAGAAGGCCGGAGGGUUGUAAAGCACGUGCAGCGGGGAGGCGUUACCCGCAGAAGAAGCACCGGCUAACUCCGUGCCAGCAGCCGCGGUAAUUC